Molecule: ribosomal RNA, 500 nt
Filed under: uncultured bacterium
Lineage: Bacteria
Description: partial 16S ribosomal RNA
Rfam family: Bacterial small subunit ribosomal RNA
Source: RNAcentral
AUUGAACGCUGGCGGAAUGCUUUACACAUGCAAGUCGAACGGCAGCACGGACUUCGGUCUGGUGGCGAGUGGCGAACGGGUGAGUAAUGUAUCGGAACGUGCCCAGUCGUGGGGGAUAACGUAGUGAAAAUUACGCUAAUACCGCAUACGAUCUAUGGAUGAAAGCGGGGGAUCGCAAGACCUCGCGCGAUUGGAGCGGCCGAUAUCAAAUUAGGUAGUUGGUGGGGUAAAGGCCCACCAAGCCAACGAUCUGUAGCUGGUCUGAGAGGACGACCAGCCCAACUGGAACUGGGACACGGUCCAGACUCCUACGGGAGGCAGCAGUGGGGAAUUUUGGACAAUGGGCGAAAGCCUGAUCCAGCCAUUCCGCGUGCAGGAUGAAGGCCCUCGGGUUGUAAACUGCUUUUGUACAGAACGAAAAGGUUUCUACUAAUACUAGGAGCUCAUGACGGUACUGUAAGAAUAAGCACCGGCUAACUACGUGCCAGCAGCCGCCGUAA